UACGUAGGGUGCGAGCGUUAAUCGGAAUUACUGGGCGUAAAGCGUGCGCAGGCGGUUUUGUAAGCCAGAUGUGAAAUCCCCGGGCUUAACCUGGGAAUGGCAUUUGGGACUGCAAGGCUGGAGUUUGGCAGAGGAGACUGGAAUUCCUGGUGUAGCAGUGAAAUGCGUAGAUAUCAGGAGGAACACCGGUGGCGAAGGCGGCCAACUGGACGAAUACUGACGCUGAGACACGAAAGCGUGGGGAGCAAACAGG
This 253-nucleotide ribosomal RNA is filed under the name uncultured bacterium. RNAcentral's name for it is "partial 16S ribosomal RNA". It matches the Rfam family "Bacterial small subunit ribosomal RNA", at positions 524 to 776 of the family's 1533-position model. The record is from RNAcentral.